Molecule: ribosomal RNA, 182 nt
Filed under: uncultured bacterium
Lineage: Bacteria
Description: partial 16S ribosomal RNA
Rfam family: Bacterial small subunit ribosomal RNA
Source: RNAcentral
GCACGAAGCCGGAAUCGCUAGUAAUCGCGGAUCAGAAUGCCGCGGUGAAUACGUUCCCGGGUCUUGUACACACCGCCCGUCACACCACGGGAGCCGGAAAUGCCCGAAGUCGGUGACCCAACCGCAAGGGGGAGCCGCCGAAGGCAGGUCCGGUGACUGGGGUGAAGUCGUAACAAGGUAUC